This 22-nucleotide microRNA is filed under the name Tribolium castaneum (red flour beetle). RNAcentral's name for it is "tca-miR-3851h-3p". The record is from miRBase by way of RNAcentral. Lineage: Eukaryota; Metazoa; Arthropoda; Insecta; Coleoptera; Tenebrionidae.
UAGUACGGUCCAUGUUGGCUCA